RNAcentral lists this transfer RNA (72 nucleotides) under Camelus dromedarius (Arabian camel). It matches the Rfam family "tRNA". From Rfam's summary of the family: Transfer RNA (tRNA) molecules are approximately 80 nucleotides in length. The record is from Rfam by way of RNAcentral. RNAcentral also lists the same sequence under 2 other names. Lineage: Eukaryota; Metazoa; Chordata; Mammalia; Artiodactyla; Camelidae.
GAGAGUGUAGCUCAGUGGUAGAGUGCAAGCCUAGCAUGCACAAGGUCCUGGGUUCAAUUCCCAGUAUUUCUG